Molecule: long non-coding RNA, 3330 nt
Organism: Dreissena polymorpha
Lineage: Eukaryota; Metazoa; Mollusca; Bivalvia; Myida; Dreissenidae
Exons: 9
Source: RefSeq, a predicted model, not a curated record
GGUCAGUCUGCUACAGCAGCACCACAUCAUCAAUCAUUGUGGGACAGUGGGCGGACAACAUACUGGUGUUCAGAGUGGAAUAGUGUGAACAUUCGCUGCUGAGUCAGGACAACGAUGCUGAGGAUGUGGUGAACAAGGAUGACCUGACUACGCAGAAGGAGAGCACCAGCAUUGGUAUCGAGUUGGCCCAGCAUCAGUACCAGUCCAGCAUGCAGGAGAUCCAGUCAAGGACGACCCUUCCCCUCCCCUGACCACUAAAUCCUCACUUUUGACCUGCAGCCUCGAAGGAUCAACAUCGUUGAACAAUUCUGUUCUGCAGGAAAUUCUCAGCACGUCAAGUUUUCACGGGCUGUUCUCAACAACCGCAAUGUCCUGGUCGAGUUUUCCACACUCAAGCCUGAGUAGUUUUGUUAAAUAUAAGCAGUAGAAAUGGUAAAACUAACAGCCAGUGUGCUUGCUCUGGGACAUCACAAAGAAUAUCACAGAAUACAAAGUUGAAUAACUUGUUCCAUUCAUUAUGGGACCAACAGAAAUUCAGCAAGAAACAGGGCAAAAAAUCAAGGAACAAUUGAAGCGAUUAAUUUAGAAGUGUAGGUUUUCCAAAGUAGAUACUUCUGCUGUUGAUAGUUUUGACAGUAAUAGCGCUACGGACGUCUCGGUUUGUCCUCUCAGGCGUGUAAACUGUCCAAAGAGAACACGCUUCUGACGCUUUUGCUGACGAAGAAAGGCAGUAAUGACUUGGCUGUGAACACCCAGAGCACAAUACAUCCUUGGGGCAUGCCUCAGACGCAAAUUCCGCUCAAGAUUAUAAACAAGGCGCAAAAUGUGAAUAUGUCUAGCUUUGUUACGAGCACUUCCCACUCCGAGCCCAUAGGCCUCGUAUUGAAUCGAGGCUGAGAAGGCAUUGACAAAUGACAGCAGUUGUGUUGUGUGGUCCAGUAUGCCCAUCGACUCUCAACCCGACGUUAAUCAGAACUCAAACUCGGCCCUUAGCAAUAUCAGCUCAGCUCCUUGAGCCUCAGGACUUGAUGCAAUCCUUGAUUGGUACCCAGCUUAACAACAGGCUCUUUGGUCAGCUGGUCCCAGAUGCCCAGAGACACUUCCUGUGCAUCGGGGGUAGUUGGCUCUUGGCGCAGGACCUCGCUCAACAAAUCCUUCCAGCAGGGUGCAGCCAGUCUAAACCUGGAGUUUCAAACUUCCCUGCCUAAGGGCCGAGAUUAUCUCAUCCACAAGGUAUAUUUGGGCUGUAAUUUACUGUGUAUAAUGUGCAGAGGCUUAUACUCACAAGUUCAGGCCCAGAGAGAAAUGUCCCCAACAACAACUUAGCCCCUACAUCUCAAUAGGAGAGCACCAGCAUUGACUAUUGUGUUGGCCCAACAACAGCACCAGUCAGGCAUGCAUGAGCCCCAGUCCAGGACAACCUUUCCCCUACCCUGAUCCAUAUCUCCUCCCCCAAGACUUCCAGCCUCAAAUUCUGAGCACAUCCAGUUUUCUUGCACUGUUCUCAUCAACCGCAAUGUCCACGUCAAGUUAUCCACUGUCGAGCCCGAGUAGUUUUGUUUAGCUUGAGUGUCCGAACGGGAAGAGUGUUACAGACACAAGGAGUUAUAUCAGUAGUUAUGGUAAUGCUCAAUCAACAGUCAGUUCUUGCUGUUGGACAUCACUGUGAAUAUCACGACGAAUGAGAAGUUGAAUGACUUGUUCCAUUCAUUAUGGGACAAACACAAAUUCAGCGAGGAACGGGACAAAAAAUCAAGGAACAAUUGAAGCGAUUAAUGCAGAAGUGUAGGCUGUCCAAAGAAGAUACUUGUGCUGUUGAUAGUUAGGACAGUAGUAGCGUUACGGACCAUCUCGGUUUGUCCUCUCAGGGGUCUAAACUGUCCAAAGGGAAUAUAAAGCUUUUGACGCUGUUGCUGAUGAAGAAAGGCAGUAAUGACUUGGCUGUCAACACCCAGAGCACAAUACAUCAAAGGGGCAUGCCUCAGACGCAAAUUGCGCCCAAGAUUGUAAACAAGGUGCAAAAUGUGAACAUGUCUGGCUUUGUUACGAGCACUUGGCACUUGUAUUGAAUCGAGAAUAGAGAUGGCUUUGAAAAAUGACAGCAGUUUUGUAAUGUCGUCCAGUACGCACUUGGACUCUCAACCGAGUUAGUCAGAACUCAAACUCGGGCCUUAGUAAAAUCAGCAAGUUGUAGAGACGCUCAAACUAAAACAAUUUGUUCCAACAGAUAGAACAGGCGUUGAUUGACUCGUCCGUAAAUGUGACUGGCCUUAAUAUGUUGCUCUCGAAUAAUGUGAACCUCACCAGGAGAGCUGUCUGCGAUUGACGCCAUUCAACAACAGUUGUUGUCGGGAAUUCCCGGGUUUGGGUUGGUGACUUAGGUGUCGGGACUCGCUUCAUCUCUGCAUAUGGCACGGUCCCAGCAGCAGCAACAAGAACAGCCGUCGCUUCUGAGUCCGGACAAAGAUGCUGAGGAUGUGGUGGACAAGAAUGACCUGAAUACGUAGAAGGAGAGAACCAGCAUUGAUAUCGAGUUUGACCAGGAACAGCACCAGUCUGCCUGAAGAAUCCCCAGUCCAGGACGAUCCUUGCCUCCCACCCCCCCGACCCCUAGCUCCUCCACCCUGACCUCUGGCCUCAAAGGGUCAUCAUAGUUGCAUUCAAGCGCUGUACUCAACAACCGCAAUGUCUGUGUCGAGUUUUCAACACUCAAGACUGAGUAGUUUUGUUGAGCUCGAGUGCCAGAGUGGGACAGACACAAUGAGUUAUAGAAGUAGUUAUGGUAACACUAACAGUCAGUUCCUGCCGUAUGACAUCACAACUAAUAUCACGAAGAAUAAAAAGUUGAUUAAUUUGUUCCAUUCUUUAUGGGACAAACAUAAAUUCAGCGAGGAUCGGGGAAAAUCAAGGAAAUUUUAACAAUUGAAGUGAUUAAUUCACAUGAGUAAGCUUUCCAAGCAGAAUACUUUUGCUGUCUAUAGUUUGGACAGUAGUAGAUUUACAAACGCGCUUUUGAUGCUGUUGCUGACAAAGAAAGGCAGUAACUACUUCAUUGUGAACACCCAGGGCACGAUACACCCAUGGGGUUUGCCUAAAAUGUGAAUUCCGCCCAAUAUUGUAAACAAGGUGCUAAAAGUAAACACGUCCGGUUUUGUUACGUGCGCUUUGCACUCCAAGCCCAAAGCACAUAGAAUCAACGCCAGAAAAGGCUUAGAAAAUGACAGCAGUUUCGUUGUGUGAUCCAGUAAGGACUCUGAACGACAUUAAUGAGACCUCAAACUUGACCAUAGCACUCACAGCGAGGCCAUCAUGUUAUCUCAGCUUCUUGAG